UUGCCUUAGUAACGGCGAGUGAAGCGGCAACAGCUCAAAUUUGAAAUCUGGCCCUUGGGUCCGAAUUGUAAUUUGUAGAGGAUGCUUUUGGUGAGGUGCCUUCCGAGUUCCCUGGAACGGGACGCCAUAGAGGGUGACAGCCCCGUCCGGUCGUGCCACCGAGCCUCUGUAAAGCUCCUUCGACGAGUCGAGUAGUUUGGGAAUGCUGCUCUAAAUGGGAGGUGUAUGUCUUCUAAAGCUAAAUACCGGCCAGAGACCGAUAGCGCACAAGUAGAGUGAUCGAAAGAUGAAAAGCACUUUGAAAAGAGGGUUAAAUAGUACGUGAAAUUGUUGAAAGGGAAGCGUUUAUGACCAGACGUGGGCCUGGCGGAUCAUCCGGCGUUCUCGCCGGUGCACUCCGCCGGCUCAGGCCAGCAUCAGUUUGGCUUGGGGGAUAAAGGCGGCGGGAAUGUGGCUCCUCCGGGAGUGUUAUAGCCCAUCGUGUAAUACCCUGAGCUGGACUGAGGUACGCGCUUCUGCAAGGAUGCUG
This 529-nucleotide ribosomal RNA is filed under the name Acremonium alternatum. Its description in RNAcentral is "eukaryotic LSU rRNA". It matches the Rfam family "Eukaryotic large subunit ribosomal RNA", at positions 75 to 628 of the family's 3401-position model. Lineage: Eukaryota; Fungi; Ascomycota; Sordariomycetes; Hypocreales; Bionectriaceae. The record is from RNAcentral.